Small nuclear RNA from Callithrix jacchus (white-tufted-ear marmoset), 107 nucleotides. NCBI's taxonomy places the organism in Eukaryota, Metazoa, Chordata, Mammalia, Primates, Cebidae. The record is from Ensembl.
GUGCUCACUUCAGCAGCACAUACCCUAAAACAUCAAUGAUACAAAGAAUAUUAGAAUGGCUUCUGUGCAAGAAUGACAUGCAAGUUCAUGAAGUGUUACACAUACUU